RNAcentral lists this ribosomal RNA (211 nucleotides) under Pleosporales sp. RNAcentral describes it as "partial large subunit ribosomal RNA". The record is from RNAcentral. Lineage: Eukaryota; Fungi; Ascomycota; Dothideomycetes; Pleosporales.
AAGCGCUUGCAGCCAGACUUGCUUGCAGUUGCUCAUCUGGGCGUUCGCCCAGUGCACUCUUCUGUAGGCAGGCCAGCAUCAGUUUGGGCGGUUGGACAAAGGCCUCUGUCAUGUAUCUUCUCCGGAAGACCUUAUAGGGGAGGCGUAAUGCAACCAGCCUGGACUGAGGUCCGCGCAUCUGCUAGGAUGCUGGCGUAAUGGCUGUAAGCGG